GUGAAUUUCCGUCCCCUUUUUU
This 22-nucleotide small RNA is filed under the name Arabidopsis thaliana (thale cress). RNAcentral describes it as "ATSL019750". The record is from RNAcentral. Lineage: Eukaryota; Viridiplantae; Streptophyta; Magnoliopsida; Brassicales; Brassicaceae.